Molecule: ribosomal RNA, 253 nt
Filed under: uncultured bacterium
Lineage: Bacteria
Description: partial 16S ribosomal RNA
Rfam family: Bacterial small subunit ribosomal RNA
Source: RNAcentral
UACGGAGGGGGCUAGCGUUGUUCGGAAUUACUGGGCGUAAAGCGCACGUAGGCGGCUUUGCAAGUUAGAGGUGAAAGCCCGGGGCUCAACCCCGGAAUUGCCUUUAAGACUGCAUCGCUCGAAUCCAGGAGAGGUGAGUGGAAUUCCGAGUGUAGAGGUGAAAUUCGUAGAUAUUCGGAAGAACACCAGUGGCGAAGGCGGCUCACUGGACUGGUAUUGACGCUGAGGUGCGAAAACGUGGGGAGCAAACAGG